UACGUAGGGUGCAGGCGUUAAUCGGAAUUACUGGGCGUAAAGCGUGCGCAGGCGGCUCCUUAAGUCAGAUGUGAAAGCCCCGGGCUUAACCUGGGAACUGCGUUUGAAACUGGGGAGCUAGAGUGUAGAAGAGGGGGGUGGAAUUCCAGGUGUAGCAGUGAAAUGCGUAGAGAUCUGGAGGAACACCGAUGGCGAAGGCAGCCCCCUGGGCUAACACUGACGCUCAUGCACGAAAGCGUGGGGAGCAAACAGGA
Molecule: ribosomal RNA, 254 nt
Filed under: uncultured prokaryote
Description: partial 16S ribosomal RNA
Rfam family: Bacterial small subunit ribosomal RNA
Source: RNAcentral